GUAUCCAGCGAGUCUCUCAUUCUGGGGAAUUAUCCAGGGAAGGAAAGUUUUCCCUCUUCCUCUGUGUUGUUUUUAAUUUAUAGGAGGAAAUAUGGCAGUUGGCACAGCCCCCGAGAAGGACUCAGGCUUGGGUGAAUCACAGGAUGUCACCCCACCAGCCCCCAACCCCGCAUGGUUCCCAGUGCCAGCCAGAGCCCUGCCAGCACCCAAAGCUGUUUAGGAGGGGAAAAAAUGAGCAAGAGCUUGUGGAGAACCAGUGACGUGCUUCUGGAUGUCUGAUAAAAUAGAUGCUAUCUAAUUCCUCCUCAGAAGUUAAUUUGCUGCAGCAGCCAAUUGAAACAACAAAGCUUGGAGCACCC
Pseudopipra pipra is the source of this 359-nucleotide long non-coding RNA. RefSeq lists it as uncharacterized. Lineage: Eukaryota; Metazoa; Chordata; Aves; Passeriformes; Pipridae. The record is from RefSeq and is a predicted model, not a curated record. The transcript has 2 exons.